Macadamia integrifolia is the source of this 3552-nucleotide long non-coding RNA. RefSeq lists it as uncharacterized. The transcript is spliced from 4 exons. NCBI's taxonomy places the organism in Eukaryota, Viridiplantae, Streptophyta, Magnoliopsida, Proteales, Proteaceae. The record is from RefSeq and is a predicted model, not a curated record.
AACGUACCGUGCCGUUGGGAGGUCGAGAGGCAACUUUAUAAUUUCGCACAUAUAGGCGCCUCUCACAAUCAUCCAGUCUAUAAAUACAGGAGGGACACUGAACUUUUCAAUUGAGCGGGAAUCCGAUCGGAGGAAAAUGUGAGUUAAUGUGAAUCCUCUGGAUCUUAGAAACCCCUUUUUUUUGUUAAUAGCUUCUCUGACUGAUCUUGUUCUUUACCUGUAAAUUUUUUCCUACUUAAUCUCCUCUGCCAUUCAAAGAUAUGCUGGAUCUCUGAAGUUCUCUGCCGAUUAUUGUUGUUCUUGAACGCAUUCCCGACUUCAAUCAUCCACUCGUUAGAAUAUCAUGUAAGUAACCGGUUGGCUGGAAGUUUUCAAAUUUGCUUCUCAUGUUUUCCCUGUUUUUUUUUUGCUGGAGAAUUUCUGGAAUUCGUUGAUAACUUAAUUGUUCGUUGAUUUAGAAUGAAUGAGGAAGUUUUGCCUUGAUAUGACUUUUUCCCUGGAAAGUUUAUAGCGAUAGAAGUGCUUUAACUUUCCUGAUUUCAUAAAAUAGAAAGAAACAGCUUCGAAUCAAGCGGAAGGUGUUUGUUUGUUAAUCUUUUUGGUGGAAAUGAUAAAUUCCGACAUGAAUUCGAUGAAUGCAGUUGGAAUUCAUCUGUUUAUCCAAAAAUCCAAAGGUUUAUAAUACUUCUAGAUGAUAGAGGCAUUUAGAGAUGGAUCACGAGUUCAGUAAAUUUAGGAAAAUAUCCUCUCUUCCAUAUCUGUUAGUUUCAGGUACCUGACGUUGAGAGCUGUUUUAAAGAGUCUCGGAACUUGAAGUUCUCAAGGAUUGGCGUUUUUGCUGAGAAUUUUGGUAUGUGAGCAGUGAUUAAGCUUUAUCAUAUUUCAUUUUCUCUUUAUUGUUAGUUAAACAUUGAUCUCAAUUCUGAUUACUCAUCAAAGAGUGCCUCUUAGUUGAUGCUGAUGAAAAUUGAAAUUGGGAAAUGAUUGGCCCUCUCUGUGUUAGAUGUUAUUUUAGUUAGCGAGAGCACAGGAAUAUGUCUUUAUGCCAUCUCAUCCGGACAGACUCCAGGGACACCAUUUGGAGUCUAGCAGAAGUAGUAUUUGAUGAAAGGCAUGAAAGAGAUGGGAAACCUACUUUGACAUACUUCUAGACAACAUUGGCGAGUCAUAACUAUAUCAGAAGAACAAACCAUGUUUGUGGAAAUGCCGGCCGUAUCUUUGUGACUUCAUCAACUGUAAAAGAGUACAUUAGUAAUUUAGUAUAGUAUAUAAUUAUGCGGUUGAUAGAUGACUAGCAUUGUAUGGCAGAAUUGAUUUCUGGUCUAUACCAAGUAAAAAUUAUUGUCAUUGAUUCUGUGACAAUAAGCAGUUACACUUAGUAACACCUUUUGCAUGGAGACAUGUCAUAUUUGUAUCAUGCUACUCGUGCAAUUGGUUCUGAAGCCUUCUAUGCAUUCUCAGUAUUUGAUAUUACAGGGUGCCCUUUAUGUAUUUUUCUUGCGGUAUAUAAUUUGGAGAAAGAAAUUUCAAGGGGUGGAAAACUCAAGUGCAGCCACUUUGGGCUGAAGGGUGCAGCUCUUAGCUGUUAUGCAGAAUCCUGCAGGAGCCCAAGUCUAUUUUGUUCACUUGACCCACUUCAUGUAUCUGAUUAUUGAUUUUUUUUUUCCCAUCAGUGGUUUCCCCAGUAACCAGGUGGUCUCGUCACACAUGCUACAUAUGUAAAAACUGAAACCGAUAAUGAUGCAGAAAACAAAUGAAAAUAGAAAACAGAAUCACACAAUGCAACACAGAUUUACGUGUUUCAGCAAGAUUUCCUACGCCUAUGGUGAGAUGAGAACUGCUUCGCAUGCAAGACACCCUACCCCUCAACAACAUAUUCCUGUUUUGACUAUGAUUUCCCUUUCUCAGAAGACGAGGCAGCUAGUUCUUAUGAUGACUCGUUCAAAUUGGCAUGCAAGAAACUAAAAGAAGCUUCCCCACUGAGCUUGAAAGUUGCUUUUAGAUUAGUUAGUCAUUACCUUUUGCUUUUCUCUAUUUGUUCUAAAAUAGCUUGCAUUACCUUAUGGCUUGAUUCAGUACCUUCUUCAUAUUUAGAUGAGGGAAGUUAGAUUUCAGUCUCUUGAUCAGUGGUCCCUUAAUGGAUUUCUAAUGACUUCUGUGAGGUAUGGGAUAUUCUGAUCUCCAUACUAUCUUUUAUGAUCCUUCUCUUCGCACAUUACUGUGUUCCUUGUAUAGGGGGUUCAGGUUUUAUUGGUAGAUAAGGACUAUGAUCCAACGGUAUCACAUUUUUCCCUUCAUGCAGUGUCCGAAUUUAUUGUUUAUUUCUGAAACCAAUUAUGAGUUAAUAACCAAAAAAUGCAGUGGGAUCCUCCAAAUUUUUAGGACAAGUCUCAAAAGACAUGGUGGACUGCUACUUUUUGCCACAAAGUGAAUUCGAGCCUGAACUGGAGCUACCUACAGCGCUAUGAGAACCUUUGAUGUGAGGCAGAUGUCUAGUAGGCUAUUCUAACUCUCCAUAGAGGCAGUCUGAGGUGUGGGAUUGUCCACAUUUUCUAAGUGUCAGCUGCGGUCAUCUAGCUGAAGCCAAUUUGCUCCCACAACACUAUUGAGGUGUCAGAUCGGUCCGUCUGCCUUUGCCUUCUAGCCACAGCUCAAGGUUGUAUACACUUGUUGCAGCUCAUCCUUUAGAACUAAUCAGUCUGCAUUAGGACUGACUCACGGUGGAGAUGUUCUAGAGCCACCGGAGGCAGAAGGAAAAUGGGGAAUCAUGCCACCACCAGCAGAAAAUGGUGCAGGGCCUAGUAUUGCCUCUGGUAUUGUUGGUUCAGAUCGAUCAUCGAGGCAAGGGAACCUGGAGUGUUGACCCAUGAUGGAACUACAAUUAUUCCUGGAGCCUUGGAUGUGACACAGAAGAUUGCUAAAGAUGCUAUGAUGCCAAUAGCCAGAACUUUUUCGCUUCCAAACUUGCCAUGUGUAUGAGUUACUUAUUUCAGUAGUUAGUAUUAUUCCCAUGUUCCAGGUUAUGGUAAUGAUCUAUACUUAUUCAUCAGAAUGCAAUGGAUUUAAUAAUGACUAAAGGCCAUAGUCGUGUACCUAUCUACUCCGGAAGCCAACAAAUACCAUAGGCCUUCUUUUGGACUAUUGCAGCUGAUUGGUUGAUGGAAUGAAGAGCACCACGAAAUACAUAUAUCAUUUGUGAUGACCCAAAUGAUAGAAUAGCUUAUUAAAGGUUACGUUGAUGGUUUGACAAUAAUGGUGAGGUUAUCACUUCUUAGUGAAAGCUCUGAAAGUCACCCUAAGUGGAUAGCUCAGUAUCAACACUUCAUAGUCGUCAGAGGUCAUGAGUUCAACCCUCUUUAAUGCCUACCUGUAAAGUUGUUAUGAGUUCAACCCUCUUUAAUGCCUACCUAUAAAAAUGAAAGUCAAGAUAUUGUUAAUUUAAUAUGACUUGUGGGCAAAGAGACGUCUUGAAUUGGCAACAGUGCAGCAUUGGCCACACACCUCCAACUGUCGUAUGUGCGCUAGAGAAGAUCAAGUUUAGAUUUUAGAACA